GGAAUCUUCCACAAUGGACGAAAGUCUGAUGGAGCAACGCCGCGUGAGUGAAGAAGGUUUUCGGAUCGUAAAACUCUGUUAUUGGAGAAGAACGUAUUUGGUAGUAACUGGCCAGAUAGUGACGGUAUCCAAUCAGAAAGCCACGGCUAACUACGUGCCAGCAGCCGCGGUAAUACGUAGGUGGCAAGCGUUGUCCGGAUUUAUUGGGCGUAAAGCGAGUGCAGGCGGUUUUUUAAGUCUGAUGUGAAAGCCUUCGGCUUAACCGAAGAAAUGCAUUGGAAACUGGGAAACUUGAGUGCAGAAGAGGAGAGUGGAACUCCAUGUGUAGCGGUGAAAUGCGUAGAUAUAUGGAAGAACACCAGUGGCGAAGGCGGCUCUCUGGUCUGUAACUGACGCUGAGGCUCGAAAGCGUGGGUAGCAAACA
This 424-nucleotide ribosomal RNA is filed under the name uncultured Lactobacillus sp. RNAcentral describes it as "bacterial SSU rRNA". It matches the Rfam family "Bacterial small subunit ribosomal RNA", at positions 358 to 774 of the family's 1533-position model. Lineage: Bacteria; Bacillati; Bacillota; Bacilli; Lactobacillales; Lactobacillaceae. The record is from RNAcentral.